GACGAACGCUGGCGGCGUGCCUAAUACAUGCAAGUUGAGCGAUGAAGAUUGGUGCUUGCACCAAUUUGAAGAGCAGCGAACGGGUGAGUAACGCGUGGGGAAUCUGCCUUUGAGCGGGGGACAACAUUUGGAAACGAAUGCUAAUACCGCAUAAUAACUUUAAACAUAAGUUUUAAGUUUGAAAGAUGCAAUUGCAUCACUCAAAGAUGAUCCCGCGUUGUAUUAGCUAGUUGGUGAGGUAAAGGCUCACCAAGGCGAUGAUACAUAGCCGACCUGAGAGGGUGAUCGGCCACAUUGGGACUGAGACACGGCCCAAACUCCUACGGGAGGCAGCAGUAGGGAAUCUUCGGCAAAGGACGAAAGUCUGACCGAGCAAAGCCGCGUGAGUGAAGAAGGUUUUCGGAUCGUAAAACUCUGUUGGUAGAGAAGAACGUUGGUGAGAGUGGAAAGCUCAUCAAGUGACGGUAACUACCCAGAAAGGGACGGCUAACUACGUG
RNAcentral lists this ribosomal RNA (497 nucleotides) under uncultured bacterium. Its description in RNAcentral is "partial 16S ribosomal RNA". It matches the Rfam family "Bacterial small subunit ribosomal RNA", at positions 28 to 507 of the family's 1533-position model. The record is from RNAcentral.